GAUGAAGAACGCAGCGAAAUGCGAUAAGUAAUGUGAAUUGCAGAAUUCAGUGAAUCAUCGAAUCUUUGAACGCAUCUUGCGCUCCUUGGUAUUCUGAGGAGCAUGCCUGUUUGAGUGUCAUUAAAUUCUCAACUACACUGACUUUGAAUUGGUGUGGCUUGGAUUUGGGGGGAAAAUUGUUGUGGGCUUUUUGUAUAGUCUGCUCCCCUGAAAUUGAUUAGCGGUACCUUUGUGGAACUGUCUACAGGUGUGAUAAUUAUCUACAUCUUAGACAUCUGCUGGAAUGCUGCUUUCUAAACCUUACUUGUAUUGACAAUCUUGACCUCAAAUCAGGUAGGACUACCCGCUGAACUUAAGCAUAUCAAUAAGCGGAGA
RNAcentral lists this unclassified non-coding RNA (375 nucleotides) under soil metagenome. RNAcentral's name for it is "partial contains 5.8S ribosomal RNA, internal transcribed spacer 2, and large subunit ribosomal RNA". The stretch from base 1 to 120 matches the Rfam family "5.8S ribosomal RNA", at positions 35 to 154 of the family's 154-position model. The record is from RNAcentral.